RNAcentral lists this microRNA precursor (110 nucleotides) under Manihot esculenta (cassava). RNAcentral describes it as "mir-399 microRNA precursor family". It matches the Rfam family "mir-399 microRNA precursor family". From Rfam's summary of the family: mir-399 was identified in both Arabidopsis thaliana and Oryza sativa computationally and was later experimentally verified. mir-399 is thought to target mRNAs coding for a phosphatase transporter. The mature sequence is excised from the 3' arm of the hairpin. The record is from Rfam by way of RNAcentral. Lineage: Eukaryota; Viridiplantae; Streptophyta; Magnoliopsida; Malpighiales; Euphorbiaceae.
AGUUGCAUUACAGGGCAAUUAUCUCCAUUGGCAGGCAGCCACUUAGACAUGCAUGCCAUUGAUUUCCUAGUGUGCCUUCUGCCAAAGGAGAUUUGCCCAGCAAUUUUUCU